CGCGUAGGCGGAUAGUUUAGUCAGAGGUGAAAGCCCCAGGGCUCAACCUUGGAAAUGCCUUUGAUACUGGCUAUCUUGAGUACGGGAGAGGUGUGUGGAACUCCGAGUGUAGAGGUGAAAUUCGUAGAUAUUCGGAAGAACACCGGUGGCGAAGGCGACACACUGGCCCGUUACUGACGCUGAGGCGCGAAAGCGUGGGGAGCAAAACA
Molecule: ribosomal RNA, 209 nt
Filed under: uncultured bacterium
Lineage: Bacteria
Description: partial 16S ribosomal RNA
Rfam family: Bacterial small subunit ribosomal RNA
Source: RNAcentral